This 253-nucleotide ribosomal RNA is filed under the name uncultured bacterium. RNAcentral's name for it is "partial 16S ribosomal RNA". It matches the Rfam family "Bacterial small subunit ribosomal RNA", at positions 524 to 776 of the family's 1533-position model. The record is from RNAcentral.
UACGUAGGGUGCAAGCGUUAUCCGGAAUUAUUGGGCGUAAAGAGCUCGUAGGCGGUUUGUCGCGUCUGCUGUGAAAACUGGAGGCUCAACCUCGCGCCUGCAGUGGGUACGGGCAGACUAGAGUGCGGUAGGGGAGAUUGGAAUUCCUGGUGUAGCGGUGGAAUGCGCAGAUAUCAGGAGGAACACCGAUGGCGAAGGCAGAUCUCUGGGCCGUAACUGACGCUGAGGAGCGAAAGCGUGGGGAGCGAACAGG